UUCUCAGUAGUAUAGUGGUUAGUAUUCCCGCUUGUCACGCGGGCGACCUGGGUUCAAUUCCCAGCUGGGAAG
This 72-nucleotide transfer RNA is filed under the name Amniculicola lignicola CBS 123094. It matches the Rfam family "tRNA". Rfam says of the family: Transfer RNA (tRNA) molecules are approximately 80 nucleotides in length. The record is from Rfam by way of RNAcentral. Lineage: Eukaryota; Fungi; Ascomycota; Dothideomycetes; Pleosporales; Amniculicolaceae.